AAAUUGAAGAGUUUGAUCAUGGCUCAGAUUGAACGCUGGCGGCAGGCCUAACACAUGCAAGUCGAACGGUAACAGGAAACAGCUUGCUGUUUCGCUGACGAGUGGCGGACGGGUGAGUAAUGUCUGGGAAACUGCCUGAUGGAGGGGGAUAACUACUGGAAACGGUAGCUAAUACCGCAUAACGUCGCAAGACCAAAGAGGGGGACCUUCGGGCCUCUUGCCAUCGGAUGUGCCCAGAUGGGAUUAGCUAGUAGGUGGGGUAACGGCUCACCUAGGCGACGAUCCCUAGCUGGUCUGAGAGGAUGACCAGCCACACUGGAACUGAGACACGGUCCAGACUCCUACGGGAGGCAGCAGUGGGGAAUAUUGCACAAUGGGCGCAAGCCUGAUGCAGCCAUGCCGCGUGUAUGAAGAAGGCCUUCGGGUUGUAAAGUACUUUCAGCGGGGAGGAAGGGAGUAAAGUUAAUACCUUUGCUCAUUGACGUUACCCGCAGAAGAAGCACCGGCUAACUCCGUGCCAGCAGCCGCGGUAAUACGGAGGGUGCAAGCGUUAAUCGGAAUUACUGGGCGUAAAGCGCACGCAGGCGGUUUGUUAAGUCAGAUGUGAAAUCCCCGGGCUCAACCUGGGAACUGCAUCUGAUACUGGCAAGCUUGAGUCUCGUAGAGGGGGGUAGAAUUCCAGGUGUAGCGGUGAAAUGCGUAGAGAUCUGGAGGAAUACCGGUGGCGAAGGCGGCCCCCUGGACGAAGACUGACGCUCAGGUGCGAAAGCGUGGGGAGCAAACAGGAUUAGAUACCCUGGUAGUCCACGCCGUAAACGAUGUCGACUUGGAGGUUGUGCCCUUGAGGCGUGGCUUCCGGAGCUAACGCGUUAAGUCGACCGCCUGGGGAGUACGGCCGCAAGGUUAAAACUCAAAUGAAUUGACGGGGGCCCGCACAAGCGGUGGAGCAUGUGGUUUAAUUCGAUGCAACGCGAAGAACCUUACCUGGUCUUGACAUCCACAGAACCUUGUAGAGAUACGAGGGUGCCUUCGGGAACUGUGAGACAGGUGCUGCAUGGCUGUCGUCAGCUCGUGUUGUGAAAUGUUGGGUUAAGUCCCGCAACGAGCGCAACCCUUAUCCUUUGUUGCCAGCGGUCCGGCCGGGAACUCAAAGGAGACUGCCAGUGAUAAACUGGAGGAAGGUGGGGAUGACGUCAAGUCAUCAUGGCCCUUACGACCAGGGCUACACACGUGCUACAAUGGCGCAUACAAAGAGAAGCGACCUCGCGAGAGCAAGCGGACCUCAUAAAGUGCGUCGUAGUCCGGAUUGGAGUCUGCAACUCGACUCCAUGAAGUCGGAAUCGCUAGUAAUCGUGGAUCAGAAUGCCACGGUGAAUACGUUCCCGGGCCUUGUACACACCGCCCGUCACACCAUGGGAGUGGGUUGCAAAAGAAGUAGGUAGCUUAACCUUCGGGAGGGCGCUUACCACUUUGUGAUUCAUGACUGGGGUGAAGUCGUAACAAGGUAACCGUAGGGGAACCUGCGGUUGGAUCACCUCCUUACCUUAAAGAA
RNAcentral lists this ribosomal RNA (1552 nucleotides) under Escherichia fergusonii. RNAcentral's name for it is "bacterial SSU rRNA". It matches the Rfam family "Bacterial small subunit ribosomal RNA". The record is from RNAcentral. Lineage: Bacteria; Pseudomonadati; Pseudomonadota; Gammaproteobacteria; Enterobacterales; Enterobacteriaceae.